UGGUUUCGGAGCAGUGCGCAUGUGAAAUUUCAUGCCGGGUGUAUUUCACCCGGUCCGUACGCGACGCUACAAAACCUGGUAUUCGUUGGAAACUUUCGGAAAGAAUGGACGACUCGAGCGGGAGUAUCGAGGCCGGAAUUGGUGGAAAUUGGUCAACCUCCCCUUGCUAGGGGUGGUUAAGAAUUAUUUUCUCAUAAUCAGCAAGUUCCCACGAGUACUGUUCGCCAGUCGAACUGGUUAAUGUGCAGAACGACAAAUUGCAAACCCAAGUGGCCAGUCAUAGCGUAAAACCCGCAGAUUUAUGACGCCACUUUCCAUCGCCCGGUUAUUCAAAACGAGACCCAUUUUGCCACAGAACCAGCUAAAUGUACCGGAGCCGAGAUCCCGGGAUUCGAACAGCUGGGCCGAAUAAAAAAUCCUCCUCCAGAUCCGAUACUGUAACGGAAAUUUUUGUACGUACAUCUUAAAGCAAAUACAUCUCGCCAGAAAUUUCCGACCUUAGACAAAGACGGAGAAAGACGUUGACGGCGUUGUUCCCGAAGGCACUAUCGCAGCGUGACUCUGCAGUGACUCUGUUCCUAGGAAGACGGUCCCUUAUACCUACCGACCGCAUAGAUACUGAAUUACCGUAUUUGCACGACGUAUACACGAAUGCGAUAAAUAAAUACACACUCCGUUGAGAUUCGUUCCCGGUAUUUCCAAGAUCUCUCAUUCGCACAUAGUCACAACUAAAUAUGUCACACACGUGCGUCUCCUUUAAUCAACCUUAUACCCACGUAACAUGAACAGUGGAAACUUCCUUUCGUUACACAGCCUGCAGAAUUUUUUUCUAGAAAAUGCUAAACAAAUGAGUUGGUGUGGUUCCAACGUAUUUUGAUGCAUUAAAUACGAUA
RNAcentral lists this unclassified non-coding RNA (893 nucleotides) under Neodiprion pinetum (white pine sawfly). RNAcentral's name for it is "uncharacterized LOC124213905, transcript variant X6". The record is from RNAcentral. Lineage: Eukaryota; Metazoa; Arthropoda; Insecta; Hymenoptera; Diprionidae.